GUUGGAUAGCAGCCUGGGCAACAUAGGGAGAUCCCUGUCUCAGAAAAAGAAGGAAAGAAGGGAUGGCAAUAUGCCCAGUUAAAAACUACAUUCCCAGCCUCUGUUGCAGCUAGAUAAUGACCAUGUGAAUAAGUUCUAGCCAAAAAGCUAUAAGCAGAGGUGUCAUUUCGGAAGCCUUCCUCAAGGAACAGAAUACAUGCUUAGCCCUCUUCAUCCUCUGCUGGCUGAAUGAGAAUAAGACGUCCGAAACCCAGGCAGCCAUAUGGGACUAUGAGGUAAGGUGCCAAGAGUGCUGGUGCGGCAAGACAGAGGGAUCAUGGGUCCCCAGCACAAGGAGCCACUUUCCCAGUCCUGGGCCAUCCUUCCCUUGGGCUUCUUUGGCAUAAGAGAAAAAUCACUUCUAACUUGCUAAACAACUAUUAUUUUUGUUUUCCUGUCCCAUGUAAUCAAACCUAAUCCUAACUGAGAAAGCAAUGAUCUGCUUUAUGCAAGACCCUGUGCUAGAUGCUACAGGGGAUGCCAAAGAAUAUGGGCUUUAGAUAGACAGACACUUGGGCAAGAACAUUCUGUCUAGGGGUGAAAGAAGUGCCCAGAAGAGUUUGGUGUGGCAGAACCAUGUGGGCAUGAAGAGGACUCAUGGUAAAUGUGGUGAGGGAGUAUGAUGGAAGGUUCUUAAAAGCCAGGCUAAUGAGGCUGGAGUUCAUCCUGUGACAGACAGAGCAGAUGACCUUGUUCCAGUGUACAAAUGGAGAAGCCCAGGCCUCAACAGGUUCAAGGACUUGUCAGGGUCACCCAGCCAGGGAGUGGCAGAGCCCAUCUCAAUUCUCCUAACAAUUGGUCCAGUGCUCUCCUUCAAUUCUGUGCUCUUUGAGAGAAUCUGGGGCAGACGGAGUAAGAAUAGAGGUUUCACACUUUGACCCACCCCCAUCACACCCCAGCAUGUUCAAAAGGGGGUUUUGGGGGUUGCCAGAAGUCUAGGAUCUGGACCUAACUUUAACUCAGAGCUUCCUCCUGGGCCUCCCGUGUAGCUCCCCCUCACAAGGCCAUCAUAGCCAGGGUGCUAUCCCACUAUGUAAUAAGUACCAAUAAGUCUAUCACAAUGCUCGGUGCUUUAGGUACAUGAUCUAAUUUACUGCCCUCAACAGCCUAAAAUAUUUUUUAAAAACAUUUUACAGGUGAAGAUGAUGAAACUGAAGAUCUAAGAAAUGAAGCCAUCUACUCAAAGCCACUCAGUUGAUAGCAAAGUGGAGAUAUAAAGCCAUGUUUGUUCAACUUCAAAGGAAUCUCAUGAAAAUCUUGUCUUCAUAUUAUAUAGCAAGGCUUUGGGCUUAGGUAUCCUUCUAGGACAAAUAAGCAGUUAAUGAGCAUGAAAGGCCUUUGAACCCUAUGUAGCCCUGCAUGUAUGCAAGCUGCUCUUUUAGGUGGAUCCUCCCAGGGUGGCUCUUCAAUGAAUGUCUACUGAAUUGCACAUGAACAGAGUAGAUAGACAGCACUAGGGACUCAUCCUCUGGCCCCAGAGGCCCACGAAAGAGUGUCCAGGCAGGCUGGACUAUGCUGGGAAGGGGGAAGGCCUGGACCCUCAUUGAGUGGAAAGGAACCCAGAAGGAAGGAAAACCCAUCAACAUCCUGUGAACUAAAUGGACAGAAAUUCUGUUUAGGAAGAAAACCACGAUAAAUAAAAUUCCUGAGACCAACUGCUAAGUCAGGGAGCACCACACACAUCCUCUUCUGCAAGAGUAUGAGAAGAUGGAGCCACAGCUCCCAUCCCAUAUCUGCAUCUGGCGUGGCCUUCCCACAACAGGCCAUGGUCAGACCUGGCUCCACAGGCAAAGGGGCUGCUUAGGCCAGACUUGAAAUAGGCUGAGUGGAAACCUGCAAGCCCCUUCUGCCUCCCUGUGCAUGGAAAGGAGUUGUCAGUGAGUUUGGAGAUCUCUGCCCUUGUCAGAGGAAGGUGACCUAAUCACAAGGCAGGGCAGGUGUCUGUGGCUGAGAGCUGAGCAAAGAACAAGCAGCCAGUAGAGGCUUUUAUCUGAACUGUGCAGCCCUUACCUGACUGGGAAGCACAAGUGAUAAUUAGUAGCGAGUUACUUUA
Long non-coding RNA from Cebus imitator (Panamanian white-faced capuchin), 2092 nucleotides. RefSeq lists it as uncharacterized. The transcript is spliced from 2 exons. Lineage: Eukaryota; Metazoa; Chordata; Mammalia; Primates; Cebidae. The record is from RefSeq and is a predicted model, not a curated record.